This 490-nucleotide ribosomal RNA is filed under the name uncultured bacterium. Its description in RNAcentral is "partial 16S ribosomal RNA". It matches the Rfam family "Bacterial small subunit ribosomal RNA", at positions 30 to 507 of the family's 1533-position model. The record is from RNAcentral.
AUUGAACGCUGGCGGCAGGCCUAACACAUGCAAGUCGAACGGUAACAGGAAGAAGCUUGCUUCUUUGCUGACGAGUGGCGGACGGGUGAGUAAUGUCUGGGAAACUGCCUGAUGGAGGGGGAUAACUACUGGAAACGGUAGCUAAUACCGCAUAACGUCGCAAGACCAAAGAGGGGGACCUUCGGGCCUCUUGCCAUCGGAUGUGCCCAGAUGGGAUUAGCUAGUAGGUGGGGUAACGGCUCACCUAGGCGACGAUCCCUAGCUGGUCUGAGAGGAUGACCAGCCACACUGGAACUGAGACACGGUCCAGACUCCUACGGGAGACAGCAGUGGGGAAUAUUGCACAAUGGGCGCAAGCCUGAUGCAGCCAUGCCGCGUGUAUGAAGAAGGCCUUCGGGUUGUAAAGUACUUUCAGCGGGGAGGAAGGGAGUAAAGUUAAUACCUUGGCUCAUUGACGUUACCCGCAGAAGAAGCACCGGCUAACUCCGUG